RNAcentral lists this transfer RNA (73 nucleotides) under Phormidium pseudopriestleyi FRX01. RNAcentral describes it as "tRNA-Asn". It matches the Rfam family "tRNA". Rfam says of the family: Transfer RNA (tRNA) molecules are approximately 80 nucleotides in length. Their secondary structure includes four short double-helical elements and three loops (D, anti-codon, and T loops). The record is from RNAcentral. Lineage: Bacteria; Bacillati; Cyanobacteriota; Cyanophyceae; Oscillatoriales; Oscillatoriaceae.
UGCCUGGUGGACGAUUGGCAAGUCGCUGUGACUAUUAUCCACAAAAAUGUAGGUUCAACUCCUACCCCGGCAU